CUAACGAAUAAGGGGUCGGCAAGUUCUGGUGUCAGCCGCCGCGGUAAAACCAGCACCUCAAGUGGUCAGGAUGAUUAUUGGGCCUAAAGCAUCCGUAGCCGGCUCUGUAAGUUUUCGGUUAAAUCUGUACGCUCAACGUACAGGCUGCCGGGAAUACUGCAGAGCUAGGGAGUGGGAGAGGUAGACGGUACUCGGGAGGAACUGGUAAAAUGCUUUGAUCUCUCGAUGACCACCUCUGGCGAAGGCGGUCUACCAGAACACGUCCGACGGUGAGGGAUGCAAGCUGGGGGAGCAAACCGGAUUAGAUACCCGGGUAGUCCCAGCUGUAAACUAUGCAAACUCAGUGAUGCAUUGGCUUGUGGCCAAUGCAGUAUUGCAGGGAAGCCGUUAAGUUUGCCGCCUGGGAAGUACGUACGCAAGUAUGAAACUUAAAGGAAUUGGCGGGGGA
This 448-nucleotide ribosomal RNA is filed under the name uncultured marine group I thaumarchaeote. RNAcentral describes it as "bacterial SSU rRNA". It matches the Rfam family "Archaeal small subunit ribosomal RNA", at positions 428 to 875 of the family's 1478-position model. Lineage: Archaea; Thermoproteati; Nitrososphaerota. The record is from RNAcentral.